Molecule: long non-coding RNA, 270 nt
Filed under: Mytilus galloprovincialis (Mediterranean mussel)
Lineage: Eukaryota; Metazoa; Mollusca; Bivalvia; Mytilida; Mytilidae
Source: RNAcentral
UCUUGGUUUUCGCACCAUAACGUUAGUAUAAGUAAAUAGAAAUCUAUGAAAUUUAAACACAAGGUUUAUGACCAUAAAAGGAAGGUUGGUAUUGAUUUUGGGAGUUUUGGUCCCAACAGAAUAAGGGGCCCAAAGGGUCCAAAAUUAAACUUUGUUUGAUUUCAUCAAAAUUGAAUAAUUGGGGUUCUUUGAUAUGCCGAAUCUAACUAUGUAUGUAGAUUCUUAAUUUUUGGUCCCGUUUUCAAAUUGGUCUACAUUAAGGUCCACAGG